Molecule: small RNA, 545 nt
Filed under: Pongo abelii (Sumatran orangutan)
Lineage: Eukaryota; Metazoa; Chordata; Mammalia; Primates; Hominidae
Description: processed transcript
Source: RNAcentral
GAACUGAAUCCAAGUACUGAUUGGACUCAAUUAUCAUCUCCUUUCUCCCUUCUCAGGUCUCUGGCUAUUCGGGUGUCUGGCCGGAGCCCCCCAGGGGGCCCAGAGCCGCAGGACAAGGGACCAGAUGGACUGUCAUUUUAUGGGGACAGAUGGUCUGGGGCUGUGGUGCGCAGGGUGCUGUCUGGGCCUGGGUCGGCCAGGAUGGAACCAAGAGAGCCUCUGGGCUGCUCUGCUCUCAGAAGUUCACUUCUUUCCCUCCCUGCCUGGGUUUUCUCCCAGCAAAGGGUGGAAGCUGCUGGUCUGGAGGGGGCGUGCCUGGAAGCCGAGGCCCAGCAGAGAACCUUGCUCUGGAACCAGGGGUCCACACUCCCUUCCCUGAUGGACUCGAAGGCCUGCCAGUCCUUCCACGAGGCCCUAGAAGCCUGGGCAAAGGGGCCAGGUGCCGAGCCCUUCUACAUUCGUGCCAACCUCACCCUGCCUGAGAGGGCAGAUCCCCAUGCCCUUUGCGUGAAAGCCCAAGAGAUCCUUCGACUGGUGGACCCGGC